GAUGAAGAACGCAGCGAAAUGCGAUAAGUAAUGCGAAUUGCAGAAUUCAGUGAGUCAUCGAGUCUUUGAACGCACAUUGCGCCCCCUGGUAUUCCGGGGGGCAUGCCUGUCCGAGCGUCAUUGCUGCCCUCAAGCACGGCUUGUGUGUUGGGCCCCGUCCUCCGAUCCCGGGGGACGGGCCCGAAAGGCAGCGGCGGCACCGCGUCCGGUCCUCGAGCGUAUGGGGCUUUGUCACCCGCUCUGUAGGCCCGGCCGGCGCUUGCCGAUCAACCCAAAUUUUUAUCCAGGUUGACCUCGGAUCAGGUAGGGAUACCCGCUGAACUUAAGCAUAUCAAUAAGCGGAGGA
RNAcentral lists this unclassified non-coding RNA (346 nucleotides) under soil metagenome. RNAcentral's name for it is "partial contains 5.8S ribosomal RNA, internal transcribed spacer 2, and large subunit ribosomal RNA". The stretch from base 1 to 120 matches the Rfam family "5.8S ribosomal RNA", at positions 35 to 154 of the family's 154-position model. The record is from RNAcentral.